This 136-nucleotide long non-coding RNA is filed under the name Ictidomys tridecemlineatus (thirteen-lined ground squirrel). RNAcentral describes it as "lncRNA (ENSSTOG00000032491.1)". The record is from RNAcentral. Lineage: Eukaryota; Metazoa; Chordata; Mammalia; Rodentia; Sciuridae.
GCAAGGAGGAUGGAGACUGGGUCAUCGUGAUGUCACAUCUGACACCUGACAUUGGAAACGUAAAAAGAAAUAUCCUUCUCCAGCAGCUGCCUUAACACAGCCUGAGCCCUGGAGGAGUCCAGCUCACAAGGAAGCA